UCAUAUGCUUGUCUCAAAGAUUAAGCCAUGCAUGUCUAAGUAUAAGCAAUUAUACCGUGAAACUGCGAAUGGCUCAUUAAAUCAGUUAUCGUUUAUUUGAUAGUACCUUACUACUUGGAUAACCGUGGUAAUUCUAGAGCUAAUACAUGCUGAAAACCCCGACUUCGGGAGGGGUGUAUUUAUUAGAUAAAAAACCAACGCCCUUCGGGGCUUCUUGGUGAUUCAUGAUAACUUCACGGAUCGCAUGGCCUUGCGCCGGCGACGGUUCAUUCAAAUUUCUGCCCUAUCAACUUUCGAUGGUAAGGUAUUGGCUUACCAUGGUUUCAACGGGUAACGGGGAAUUAGGGUUCGAUUCCGGAGAGGGAGCCUGAGAAACGGCUACCACAUCCAAGGAAGGCAGCAGGCGCGCAAAUUACCCAAUCCCGACACGGGGAGGUAGUGACAAUAAAUACUGAUACAGGGCUCUUUUGGGUCUUGUAAUUGGAAUGAGUACAAUUUAAACCUCUUAACGAGGAACAAUUGGAGGGCAAGUCUGGUGCCAGCAGCCGCGGUAAUUCCAGCUCCAAUAGCGUAUAUUAAAGUUGUUGCAGUUAAAAAGCUCGUAGUUGAAACUUGGGCCUGGCUGGCAGGUCCGCCUCACCGCGUGUACUUGUCCGGCCGGGCCUUUCCUUCUGGAGAACCUCAUGCCCUUCACUGGGUGUGUUGGGGAACCAGGACUUUUACUUUGAAAAAAUUAGAGUGUUCAAAGCAGGCCUUUGCUCGAAUACGUUAGCAUGGAAUAAUAGAAUAGGACGUGCGGUCCUAUUUUGUUGGUUUCUAGGACCGCCGUAAUGAUUAAUAGGGACAGUCGGGGGCAUCAGUAUUCAAUUGUCAGAGGUGAAAUUCUUGGAUUUAUUGAAGACUAACUACUGCGAAAGCAUUUGCCAAGGAUGUUUUCAUUAAUCAGUGAACGAAAGUUAGGGGAUCGAAGACGAUCAGAUACCGUCGUAGUCUUAACCGUAAACUAUGCCGACUAGGGAUCGGGCGAUGUUCUUUUUCUGACUCGCUCGGCACCUUACGAGAAAUCAAA
Molecule: ribosomal RNA, 1069 nt
Filed under: Phoma sp. 200
Lineage: Eukaryota; Fungi; Ascomycota; Dothideomycetes; Pleosporales; Didymellaceae
Description: SSU rRNA
Rfam family: Eukaryotic small subunit ribosomal RNA
Source: RNAcentral